Aricia agestis (brown argus) is the source of this 227-nucleotide long non-coding RNA. RefSeq lists it as uncharacterized. The record is from RefSeq and is a predicted model, not a curated record. NCBI's taxonomy places the organism in Eukaryota, Metazoa, Arthropoda, Insecta, Lepidoptera, Lycaenidae. The transcript has 3 exons.
AAAGCCACAAAUACAUGAUGGAAGUAAAAGCGGCGGAAAACCAUGGAUAGUGCAAUUAUUGAUAACCCAAACGAAUCACCAAAUUCCAAUUCAGAUCCAGCGGCAGGUAGUAUGUUGGAAAGUCGACCGAAAACGAUGGAAUUAGAUAAUAACACAGUGGAAAAUGUAGCAAAUGCCGAUCGCAAUAUAACGACGGGUAGUAUUUUAAAAAGGCAAGUAUAUUUUUA